This 459-nucleotide ribosomal RNA is filed under the name uncultured bacterium. RNAcentral's name for it is "partial 16S ribosomal RNA". It matches the Rfam family "Bacterial small subunit ribosomal RNA", at positions 338 to 795 of the family's 1533-position model. The record is from RNAcentral.
CCUACGGGUGGCAGCAGUGAGGAAUAUUGGUCAAUGGGCGCGAGCCUGAACCAGCCAAGUAGCGUGAAGGAUGACUGCCCUACGGGUUGUAAACUUCUUUUAUAAAGGAAUAAAGUGAGGCACGUGUGCCUUUUUGUAUGUACUUUAUGAAUAAGGAUCGGCUAACUCCGUGCCAGCAGCCGCGGUAAUACGGAGGAUCCGAGCGUUAUCCGGAUUUAUUGGGUUUAAAGGGAGCGUAGAUGGGUUGUUAAGUCAGCGGUAAAAUCGCGGGGCUCAACCUCGCUCCGCCGUUGAAACUGGCGUUCUUGAGUGGGCGAGAAGUAUGCGGAAUGCGUGGUGUAGCGGUGAAAUGCAUAGAUAUCACGAAGAACUCCGAUUGCGAAGGCAGCUUACUAAACUGCCACUGACAUUGAUGCUCGAAAGUGUGGGUAUCAAACAGGAUUAGAUACCCUUGUAGUC